Molecule: ribosomal RNA, 421 nt
Filed under: uncultured Chlorobiota bacterium
Lineage: Bacteria; Pseudomonadati; Chlorobiota
Description: bacterial SSU rRNA
Rfam family: Bacterial small subunit ribosomal RNA
Source: RNAcentral
UGAGGAAUAUUGGUCAAUGGGAGCAAUCCUGAACCAGCAAUGCCGCGUGUGGGAUGAAGGCGCUUCGCGUCGUAAACCACUGUCGGACGGGACGAAAAGAGCUAUAAAGCUCCGAGACGGUACCGUCAAAGGAAGGAUCGGCUAACUACGUGCCAGCAGCCGCGGUAAUACGUAGGAUCCAAGCGUUGUCCGGAUUUACUGGGUAUAAAGGGUGCGUAGGCGGUCUUGUGCGUCAGAGGUGAAAUAUCCGGGCUUAACCCGGAGGGUGCCUUUGAUACGGCAGGACUUGAGUACGAGAGAGGAUGAUGGAAUUCCUGGUGUAGCGGUGAAAUGCGUAGAUAUCAGGAGGAACACCGGUGGCGAAGGCGGUCAUCUGGCUCGUAACUGACGCUGAGGCACGAAAGCGUGGGGAUCAAACAGG